AUUGAACGCUGGCGGCAGGCCUAACACAUGCAAGUCGAGCGAGCGGCGGACGGGUGCGUAAUGUAUGGGGAUCUGCCCGAUAGAGGGGGAUAACUACUGGAAACGGUAGCUAAUACCGCAUACCAUCAGAUGCACCCAUAUGGGAUUAGCUUGUCGGUGAGGUAACGGCUCACCUAGGCGACGAUCCCUAGCUGGUCUGAGAGGAUGAGCAGCCAAACUGGGACUGAGACACGGCCCAGACGCCUACGGGAGGCAGAAGUGGGGAAUAUGGCACAAUGGGCGCAAGCCUGAUGCAGCCAUGCCGCGUGUAUGAAGAAGGCCUUAGGGUUGUAAAGUACUUUCAGCGGGGAGGCGUUACCCGCAGAAGAAGCACCGGCUAACUCCGUGCCAGCAGCCGCGGUAAUUC
This 406-nucleotide ribosomal RNA is filed under the name uncultured bacterium. Its description in RNAcentral is "partial 16S ribosomal RNA". It matches the Rfam family "Bacterial small subunit ribosomal RNA", at positions 30 to 526 of the family's 1533-position model. The record is from RNAcentral.